AGUGAACGCUGGCGGUAGGCCUAACACAUGCAAGUCGAACGGCAGCACAGUAAGAGCUUGCUCUUACGGGUGGCGAGUGGCGGACGGGUGAGGAAUACAUCGGAAUCUACUUUUUCGUGGGGGAUAACGUAGGGACACUUACGCUAAUACCGCAUACGACCUACGGGUGAAAGCAGUGGAUCUUCGGACCUUGCGCGAUUGAAUGAGCCGAUGUCGGAUUAGCUAGUUGGCGGGGUAAAGGCCCACCAAGGCGACGAUCCGUAGCUGGUCUGAGAGGAUGAUCAGCCACACUGGAACUGAGACACGGUCCAGACUCCUACGGGAGGCAGCAGUGGGGAAUAUUGGACAAUGGGCGAAAGCCUGAUCCAGCCAUACCGCGUGGGUGAAGAAGGCCUUCGGGUUGUAAAGCCCUUUUGUUGGGAAAGAAAAGCAGCAGGUUAAUACCCCGCUGUUCUGACGGUACCCAAAGAAUAAGCACCGGCUAACUUCGUG
RNAcentral lists this ribosomal RNA (492 nucleotides) under uncultured bacterium. RNAcentral's name for it is "partial 16S ribosomal RNA". It matches the Rfam family "Bacterial small subunit ribosomal RNA", at positions 29 to 507 of the family's 1533-position model. The record is from RNAcentral.